This 528-nucleotide ribosomal RNA is filed under the name uncultured bacterium. RNAcentral describes it as "bacterial SSU rRNA". It matches the Rfam family "Bacterial small subunit ribosomal RNA", at positions 984 to 1509 of the family's 1533-position model. The record is from RNAcentral.
ACAUCCAGAGAAUUUAGCAGAGAUGCUUUUAGUGCCUUCGGGAACUCUGAGACAGGUGCUGCAUGGCUGUCGUCAGCUCGUGUUGUGAAAUGUUGGGUUAAGUCCCGNAACGAGCGCAACCCUUUAUCCUUUGUUGCCAGCACGUAAUGGUGGGAACUCAAAGGAGACUGCCGGUGAUAAACCGGAGGAAGGUGGGGAUGACGUCAAGUCAUCAUGGCCCUUACGAGUAGGGCUACACACGUGCUACAAUGGCGCAUACAAAGAGAAGCGACCUCGCGAGAGCAAGCGGACCUCAUAAAGUGCGUCGUAGUCCGGAUUGGAGUCUGCAACUCGACUCCAUGAAGUCGGAAUCGCUAGUAAUCGUAAAUCAGAAUGUUACGGUGAAUACGUUCCCGGGCCUUGUACACACCGCCCGUCACACCAUGGGAGUGGGUUGCAAAAGAAGUAGAUAGCUUAACCUUCGGGAGGGCGUUUACCACUUUGUGAUUCAUGACUGGGGUGAAGUCGUAACAAGGUAAGCGUAGUGCU